This 253-nucleotide ribosomal RNA is filed under the name uncultured bacterium. RNAcentral describes it as "partial 16S ribosomal RNA". It matches the Rfam family "Bacterial small subunit ribosomal RNA", at positions 524 to 776 of the family's 1533-position model. The record is from RNAcentral.
AACGUAGGUUCCGAGCGUUAUCCGGAUUUACUGGGCGUAAAGCGUGUUCAGGCGGCUCGGCAAGUCGGGCAUGAAAUCUCUCGGCUCAACCGGGAGGGGUUGUCCGAUACUGUCGGGCUUGAGGGCAGUAGAGGGUGGUGGAAUUCCGGGUGUAGUGGUGAAAUGCGUAGAUAUCCGGAGGAACACCAGUGGCGAAAGCGGCCACCUGGACUGUACCUGACGCUCAAACACGAAAGCUAGGGGAGCGAACGGG